UGAAACUUCGGUCGAUUUAAUUUAAUUCUAGUGGCGGACGGGUGAGUAACGCGUGGGUAACCUGCCUUAUACAGGGGGAUAACAGUCAGAAAUGGCUGCUAAUACCGCAUAAGCGCACAGAGCUGCAUGGCUCAGUGUGAAAAACUCCGGUGGUAUAAGAUGGACCCGCGUUGGAUUAGCUAGUUGGUGGGGUAACGGCCCACCAAGGCGACGAUCCAUAGCCGGCCUGAGAGGGUGAACGGCCACAUUGGGACUGAGACACGGCCCAGACUCCUACGGGAGGCAGCAGUGGGGAAUAUUGCACAAUGGGGGAAACCCUGAUGCAGCGACGCCGCGUGAAGGAAGAAGUAUCUCGGUAUGUAAACUUCUAUCAGCAGGGAAGAUAGUGACGGUACCUGACUAAGAAGCCCCGGCUAACUACGUGCCAGCAGCCGCGGUAAUACGUAGGGGGCAAGCGUUAUCCGGAUUUACUGGGUGUAAAGGGAGCGUAGACGGUGUGGCAAGUCUGAUGUGAAAGGCAUGGGCUCAACCUGUGGACUGCAUUGGAAACUGUCAUACUUGAGUGCCGGAGGGGUAAGCGGAAUUCCUAGUGUAGCGGUGAAAUGCGUAGAUAUUAGGAGGAACACCAGUGGCGAAGGCGGCUUACUGGA
RNAcentral lists this ribosomal RNA (650 nucleotides) under uncultured Lachnospiraceae bacterium. Its description in RNAcentral is "bacterial SSU rRNA". It matches the Rfam family "Bacterial small subunit ribosomal RNA", at positions 68 to 733 of the family's 1533-position model. The record is from RNAcentral. Lineage: Bacteria; Bacillati; Bacillota; Clostridia; Lachnospirales; Lachnospiraceae.